CCUACGGGGGGCAGCAGUGGGGAAUAUUGCACAAUGGGGGAAACCCUGAUGCAGCGACGCCGCGUGAGUGAAGAAGUAAUUCGUUAUGUAAAGCUCUAUCAGCAGGGAAGAAAAUGACGGUAGCUGAGUAAGAAGCACCGGCUAACUACGUGCCCGCAGCCGCGGUAAUACGUAGGGGGCAAGCGUUAUCCGGAUUUACGGGGUGUAAAGGGAGAGUAGACGGCAGUGCAAGUCUGGAGUGAAAGGCGGGGGCUGAACCCCCGGACUGCCCUGGAAACUGUACGGCUGGAGUGCAGGAGAGGUAAGUGGAAGUCGUAGUGUAGCGGUGAAAUGCAUAGAUAUAUGGAGGAACACCAGUGGCGAAGGCGACGAUCUGGCCUGCAACUGACGCUCAGUCCCGAAAGCGUGGGGAGCAAAUAGGAUUAGAUACCCGUGUAGUC
This 440-nucleotide ribosomal RNA is filed under the name uncultured bacterium. Its description in RNAcentral is "partial 16S ribosomal RNA". It matches the Rfam family "Bacterial small subunit ribosomal RNA", at positions 338 to 795 of the family's 1533-position model. The record is from RNAcentral.